UUACAUGAAUGUCCCUCUCAAUUAGGACUCUCCUAGCUAGAGUCCUAACAGACCCACCCUCUUCAAAUCAGCCUUGUCCUCGAGGCUGACGAUUCAUGAAUUUUGGGAAUUUGAUCUUCAAGUCGUCAUAGUUCUCCCAAGUGGCAUCUUCUAUUGGUAGGUUCACCCACUGUAUUAGCACUUUAGUAGUGGGUCGUCGUCGUCGAGUCACGAUCCGUCGAUCAAUAAUGG
RNAcentral lists this long non-coding RNA (231 nucleotides) under Musa acuminata (dwarf banana). RNAcentral describes it as "long non-coding RNA (MACU_LNC010715)". Lineage: Eukaryota; Viridiplantae; Streptophyta; Magnoliopsida; Zingiberales; Musaceae. The record is from RNAcentral.